RNAcentral lists this unclassified non-coding RNA (333 nucleotides) under soil metagenome. RNAcentral's name for it is "partial contains 5.8S ribosomal RNA, internal transcribed spacer 2, and large subunit ribosomal RNA". The stretch from base 1 to 120 matches the Rfam family "5.8S ribosomal RNA", at positions 35 to 154 of the family's 154-position model. The record is from RNAcentral.
GAUGAAGAACGUAGCGAAAUGCGAUAAGUAAUGUGAAUUGCAGAAUUCAGUGAAUCAUCGAAUCUUUGAACGCACAUUGCGCCCGCCAGUAUUCUGGCGGGCAUGCCUGUUCGAGCGUCAUUUCAACCAUCAAGCCCCCGGCUUGUGUUGGGGACCUGCGGCUGCCGCAGGCCCUGAAAACCAGUGGCGGGCUCGCUAGUCACUCCGAGCGUAGUAAUACAUCUCGCUCAGGGCGUGCUGCGGGUUCCGGCCGUUAAAAAGCCUUAUUUACCCAAGGUUGACCUCGGAUCAGGUAGGAAGACCCGCUGAACUUAAGCAUAUCAAUAGCGGAGA